AUGUUGUUCUGCUUCGGCUUCUCUCACGGUUUCGCCGUCGGCCUCCCCAAACCGGUAGUAGAGCCGCUCACAUAUGCAGUUCCUCGACCCCGGGUGCUACUCGCGGCGGCUGCACUAGACGAUGCAUCGAACGCGGCCAUCCCCGUCGCAGCUCCAUUUCGUGCGGGAUCCAGCAGCCGCUCCCUCAUGCCUUUCCUAGGUCCUGGGUACGGUCAUCCUCGCGGCGGCGGCAUCAAACGCGGUAGGCAUUGCCAUCCCCGUCGCUGCAGCGGUUCGUGCGACAUCCAGCAUACGUAG
RNAcentral lists this ribosomal RNA (297 nucleotides) under Triticum aestivum (bread wheat). Its description in RNAcentral is "partial small subunit ribosomal RNA". Lineage: Eukaryota; Viridiplantae; Streptophyta; Magnoliopsida; Poales; Poaceae. The record is from RNAcentral.